GCCCCUUUGGCUCAGUGGAUAGAGUGUCGGCCUGCAGACUGAAUGGUACCAGGUUCGAUUCUGGUCAGGGGCA
Molecule: transfer RNA, 73 nt
Filed under: Myotis brandtii (Brandt's bat)
Lineage: Eukaryota; Metazoa; Chordata; Mammalia; Chiroptera; Vespertilionidae
Rfam family: tRNA
About the family: Transfer RNA (tRNA) molecules are approximately 80 nucleotides in length.
Source: Rfam by way of RNAcentral